AUAAUGCAGUCGAGCGAACAGAUAAGGAGCUUGCUCCUUUGACGUUAGCGGCGGACGGGUGAGUAACACGUGGGUAACCUACCUAUAAGACUGGGAUAACUUCGGGAAACCGGAGCUAAUACCGGAUAACAUUUGGAACCGCAUGGUUCUAAAGUGAAAGAUGGUUUUGCUAUCACUUAUAGAUGGACCCGCGCCGUAUUAGCUAGUUGGUAAGGUAACGGCUUACCAAGGCGACGAUACGUAGCCGACCUGAGAGGGUGAUCGGCCACACUGGAACUGAGACACGGUCCAGACUCCUACGGGAGGCAGCAGUAGGGAAUCUUCCGCAAUGGGCGAAAGCCUGACGGAGCAACGCCGCGUGAGUGAUGAAGGGUUUCGGCUCGUAAAACUCUGUUAUUAGGGAAGAACAAACGUGUAAGUAACUGUGCACGUCUUGACGGUACCUAAUCAGAAAGCCACGGCUAACUACGUGCCAGCAGCCGCGGUAAUACGUAGGUGGCAAGCGUUAUCCGGAAUUAUUGGGCGUAAAGCGCGCGUAGGCGGUUUCUUAAGUCUGAUGUGAAAGCCCACGGCUCAACCGUGGAGGGUCAUUGGAAACUGGGAAACUUGAGUGCAGAAGAGGAAAGUGGAAUUCCAUGUGUAGCGGUGAAAUGCGCAGAGAUAUGGAGGAACACCAGUGGCGAAGGCGACUUUCUGGUCUGUAACUGACGCUGAUGUGCGAAAGCGUGGGGAUCAAACAGGAUUAGAUACCCUGGUAGUCCACGCCGUAAACGAUGAGUGCUAAGUGUUAGGGGGUUUCCGCCCCUUAGUGCUGCAGCUAACGCAUUAAGCACUCCGCCUGGGGAGUACGACCGCAAGGUUGAAACUCAAAGGAAUUGACGGGGACCCGCACAAGCGGUGGAGCAUGUGGUUUAAUUCGAAGCAACGCGAAGAACCUUACCAAAUCUUGACAUCCUUUGAAAACUCUAGAGAUAGAGCCUUCCCCUUCGGGGGACAAAGUGACAGGUGGUGCAUGGUUGUCGUCAGCUCGUGUCGUGAGAUGUUGGGUUAAGUCCCGCAACGAGCGCAACCCUUAAGCUUAGUUGCCAUCAUUAAGUUGGGCACUCUAGGUUGACUGCCGGUGACAAACCGGAGGAAGGUGGGGAUGACGUCAAAUCAUCAUGCCCCUUAUGAUUUGGGCUACACACGUGCUACAAUGGACAAUACAAAGGGCAGCUAAACCGCGAGGUCAUGCAAAUCCCAUAAAGUUGUUCUCAGUUCGGAUUGUAGUCUGCAACUCGACUACAUGAAGCUGGAAUCGCUAGUAAUCGUAGAUCAGCAUGCUACGGUGAAUACGUUCCCGGGUCUUGUACACACCGCCCGUCACACCACGAGAGUUUGUAACACCCGAAGCCGGUGGAGUAACCAUUUAUGGAGCUAGCCGUCGAAUG
Molecule: ribosomal RNA, 1430 nt
Filed under: Staphylococcus sp. BQN4T-04
Lineage: Bacteria; Bacillati; Bacillota; Bacilli; Caryophanales; Staphylococcaceae
Description: bacterial SSU rRNA
Rfam family: Bacterial small subunit ribosomal RNA
Source: RNAcentral